AACUCGACUACAUGAAGCUGGAAUCGCUAGUAAUCGCGAAUCAGAAUGUCGCGGUGAAUACGUUCCCGGGUCUUGUACACACCGCCCGUCACACCAUGGGAGUUGGGAAUGCCCGAAGCCGGUGACCUAACCGAAAGGGAGGAGCCGUCGAAGGCAGGCUUGAUAACUGGGGUGAAGUCGUAACAAGGUAUC
RNAcentral lists this ribosomal RNA (192 nucleotides) under uncultured bacterium. RNAcentral's name for it is "partial 16S ribosomal RNA". It matches the Rfam family "Bacterial small subunit ribosomal RNA", at positions 1309 to 1500 of the family's 1533-position model. The record is from RNAcentral.